RNAcentral lists this ribosomal RNA (1971 nucleotides) under marine metagenome. Its description in RNAcentral is "bacterial LSU rRNA". It matches the Rfam family "Archaeal large subunit ribosomal RNA", at positions 869 to 2881 of the family's 2987-position model. The record is from RNAcentral.
GCAAAUCGCUCGGAUGAGCUGGGUAUAGGGGUGAAAGUCCAAUCGAGAUGGGCAAUAGCAGGUUCCGCGCGAGACUACUCGCAGGUAGAUCUUCGCAGAGAUAGAUUACGAUGUAGAGCACUGAUUGGGUAUUUAGGGGGAGCGAUCCCUCGGUACGCUGUCAAACUCCGAAGUUGUAAUCGUCGUAGAAGCGAGGAGUGAGCCACGGUGGGUAAGCUACCGUGACGAAAGGUGAAGAAACCAGCUCAGUGUUAAGGUCCCAAAAUUACAGUUAAGUGUUAAUUACAAACGGAGUCCGUGGUCGAAGACAACUAGAAGGUGGGCUUAGAGGCAGCCAUCCUUGAAAGAGUUCGUAACAGAUCACUAGUCAAGCUUGCGGGCCCGAAAAAUGGACGGGACUAAAACUGUAUACCGAUACACUGAUCCUUCGAAAGAAGAUGAGGUAGCGCGGCGACAUGCUCGGGUAGAAGCUCGGUUUUGAGAUCGGGUGGACCGUGUAUGUAUGAGAAUCUAGGGAAGAGUAGCAGCAUAGUGCGGUGAGAAUCCGCACCACCGAAGGGGUAAGGGUUCCUCGGCAAUGGUUAUCAGCCGAGGGUUAGCCGAUCCUAAGGUCAUUCCUAACCGAAAUGAUCGAAAGGGAAUUGCGUUAAUAUUCGUAAGCCCCUCUUACAUUAAUGGUGACGGCUUGGGCUAGUUUAUGCGCAUCAGUCAUGGUGCGUCGAAGCGUUCAAUAAUCGAAUGGAGAACCGUAAUGGUGAGAAGUUCGAGAAGACGUGAGCAAAAGAUAGAUGAGGCCUAGGUCCCAUGAAAAGCCGUAAGAGGUGAUCGUACCAAGAUCUGACACAGGUACCCAAGGUGAGAAGCCUAAGGUGUGACGGGCAAAGUAUCGUGAAGGAACUCGGCAAAAUCGCUCUGUAACUUCGGGAGAAGGAGUGCCAGGUUCGAGAGAACCUGGUCGCAGUAACAAGGGGACUCCGACUGUUUAAUAAAAACAUAGCCGACUGCUAGUUCGAAAGGAUGUGUAUAGUCGGUGAAUCCUGCUCAGUGCCGGUAUCUGAAAUCGGGUUUCAACCUGAUGAAGGACCGGUAAACAGCGGGGGUAACUAUGACCCUCUUAAGGUAGCGUAAUACCUUGUCGCUUAAUUGGCGACUUGCAUGAAUGGCACAACGAGAGUCCCACUGUCUCCACGAUACGUCCGGCGAAAUUGACUAUUACUGGCGCACAGUCCAGUAACCUCAACCUGCAAGCGAAGACCCCAUAGAGCUUUACUACAGCCUGGCGUUGAAUAAUCGCACACUAUGUGCUGAGUAGACGGGAGAUGUUGAUCAUCUGGACGCCAGUUCAGAUGGGAGUCGUCCAUAGAGACACCGUCCUUAGUUUGUAAUUAUUCUAACUCUUUUAGAGAACACCGUUUGGUGGGUAGUUUGGGUGGGGCGCCACGCGCCCGAAAAUAUAACAGGCGUGCCCAAAGGUCAGCUUAGGUGGUUCAGUCUCCACCGUUAACCGUAAGGGGAAAAGCUGGCUUGACGUGGAUCGGACCAAUAACGAUCGACGAUGCGAAAGCAGGGCCUAACGAACCAAUCUACCUCAUUUAUGGGGGUGAUUGAUAACAGAAAAGUUACCUUGGGGAUAAUUGAGUUGUCACCAGCAAGAGCACAUAUCGACCUGGUGGCUUGCUACUUCGAUGUCGUCUCUUCCCAACCUCCUGGUGCAGCAGCUGGGAAGGGUGGGGUUGUUCGCCCAUUAAAGGGGAUCGUGAGAUGGGUUUAGACCGUCGUGAGACAGGUUUGUUGCUUUGUGGUUGAGGCGUAUCAGAUGCCUGAUCGGAAGGGUCCUUUAGUACGAGAGGAACGAGGACUCGGAGCCACUAGUUUACCAGUUGUCCGACAGGGCAAUGCUGGGUAGCCACGCUCCAGUGGAUAAGAGCUGAAAGCAUCUAAGCUCGAAGUCAUCCGAAAGACGAGGCAUCU